Molecule: ribosomal RNA, 554 nt
Filed under: Microbacterium sp. 09WSH7-25
Lineage: Bacteria; Bacillati; Actinomycetota; Actinomycetes; Micrococcales; Microbacteriaceae
Description: bacterial SSU rRNA
Rfam family: Bacterial small subunit ribosomal RNA
Source: RNAcentral
CUGGAAACGGCGUCUAAUACUGGAUAUGAGACGUGAUCGCAUGGUCGUGUUUGGAAAGAUUUUUCGGUCUGGGAUGGGCUCGCGGCCUAUCAGCUUGUUGGUGAGGUAAUGGCUCACCAAGGCGUCGACGGGUAGCCGGCCUGAGAGGGUGACCGGCCACACUGGGACUGAGACACGGCCCAGACUCCUACGGGAGGCAGCAGUGGGGAAUAUUGCACAAUGGGCGGAAGCCUGAUGCAGCAACGCCGCGUGAGGGAUGACGGCCUUCGGGUUGUAAACCUCUUUUAGCAGGGAAGAAGCGAAAGUGACGGUACCUGCAGAAAAAGCGCCGGCUAACUACGUGCCAGCAGCCGCGGUAAUACGUAGGGCGCAAGCGUUAUCCGGAAUUAUUGGGCGUAAAGAGCUCGUAGGCGGUUUGUCGCGUCUGCUGUGAAAUCCCGAGGCUCAACCUCGGGCCUGCAGUGGGUACGGGCAGACUAGAGUGCGGUAGGGGAGAUUGGAAUUCCUGGUGUAGCGGUGGAAUGCGCAGAUAUCAGGAGGAACACCGAUGGCGA